This 483-nucleotide ribosomal RNA is filed under the name uncultured bacterium. Its description in RNAcentral is "partial 16S ribosomal RNA". It matches the Rfam family "Bacterial small subunit ribosomal RNA", at positions 30 to 506 of the family's 1533-position model. The record is from RNAcentral.
AUUGAACGCUGGCGGCAGGCCUAACACAUGCAAGUCGAGCGGAUGAAGGGAGCUUGCUCCUGGAUUCAGCGGCGGACGGGUGAGUAAUGCCUAGGAAUCUGCCUGGUAGUGGGGGAUAACGUCCGGAAACGGGCGCUAAUACCGCAUACGUCCUGAGGGAGAAAGUGGGGGAUCUUCGGACCUCACGCUAUCAGAUGAGCCUAGGUCGGAUUAGCUAGUUGGUGGGGUAAAGGCCUACCAAGGCGACGAUCCGUAACUGGUCUGAGAGGAUAAUCAGUCACACUGGAACUGAGAACCGGUCCAGACUCCUAGGGGAGGCAGGGGUGGGGAAUAUUGAGAAAUGGGCAAAAGCCUAAUCCAGCCAUGCCGCGUGUGUAAAGAAGGUCUUCGGAUUGUAAUGCCCUUUAAGUUGGGAGGAAGGGCAGUAAGUUAAUCCCUUGCUUUUUUGACGUUACCAACAGAAUAAGCACCGGCUAACUUCGU